This is a long non-coding RNA of Coturnix japonica (Japanese quail), 801 nucleotides long. RefSeq lists it as uncharacterized. Lineage: Eukaryota; Metazoa; Chordata; Aves; Galliformes; Phasianidae. The record is from RefSeq and is a predicted model, not a curated record.
CUCGGAGCGACGUGGCACGACACAAAAGCGGACAAGCAGCACCAAAGCGCCCGAAGACGACCCAACCUGCUCUCACCAUCCCCACAAGGACAAAAUAACUGUGGCUAUUACUCAUCUGCGAAGAAACCAUUCUGUGUUUGGAACAAGAAUUUCAUCCACAGUUGCUGAAUUUUACAAAGUGAAGGAAAAAGGACAUCAGAGGCUUCGCUGUAAGAACAGAGGAACCAGAAGAUGUAGACAACCAAGAAGAAAAAGUGUCGUACCUAAGGAUGAUUUGCCCUGCAUAUGUCUAUACUGGAGAUCCUCAGCUUAAUUGAUGCUGGGUACCAGCUUGGAUUUGCAAGGCUGAAACAAUGCUGCUGAAGGACAGAGAUAAGCAAUGCAGAGUACAUAAGAAAUUGUUAGUUAAAUGCAAGAGAGUCACAGUAAUGGUAAAACACUGAAAGUGCAGCCUGAUGACUUGCUCUGUGGUAUAGUAAAGGAAAUGAGUUAUCUAGGUAUGAGUCUGACCUACUUAAUUAAAUACUUUUGGGAAGGCUUUUUAAAUAUCAAAACCCUUUUCCACACAGUGCUAGGAGAAUGAGAUCAAUCACUGAAGAAUCAGGAUUUCCCUGUGGGUAAAGUAGUAAAUUCAGCCCUAUUGUAUUUCACUGUUGAGAAAAUGCUACACAAGUGGAGCAGUAGACAAGGUACUUUGUUAGAGCAACAUCACCAUGUGCGAUUGCAUGUCCUUGAGGUCCUGGGCUGGCAUCAUUAGAACCAAAUUGCAACAAGGCUUCUAUGUUAGCAAUUGGAGAGUGC